GCGGGCGUAGCUCAGUGGUAGAGUGCUACCUUGCCAAGGUAGACGUCGACGGUUCAAAUCGUUCGCCCGCUCCA
RNAcentral lists this transfer RNA (74 nucleotides) under Deltaproteobacteria bacterium RBG_19FT_COMBO_43_11. RNAcentral's name for it is "tRNA-Gly". It matches the Rfam family "tRNA". From Rfam's summary of the family: Transfer RNA (tRNA) molecules are approximately 80 nucleotides in length. Their secondary structure includes four short double-helical elements and three loops (D, anti-codon, and T loops). The record is from RNAcentral. Lineage: Bacteria; Deltaproteobacteria.